RNAcentral lists this ribosomal RNA (568 nucleotides) under uncultured bacterium. Its description in RNAcentral is "bacterial SSU rRNA". It matches the Rfam family "Bacterial small subunit ribosomal RNA", at positions 338 to 916 of the family's 1533-position model. The record is from RNAcentral.
CCUACGGGAGGCAGCAGUGAGGAAUUUUCCGCAAUGGGCGAAAGCCUGACGGAGCAAUACCGCGUGAGGGAUGAAGGAUUUUGGUCUGUAAACCUCUUUUCUCAAGAAAGAAGUUCUGACGGUACUUGAGGAAUAAGCAUCGGCUAACUCCGUGCCAGCAGCCGCGGUAAUACGGGGGAUGCAAGCGUUAUCCGGAAUGAUUGGGCGUAAAGCGCCUGUAGGUUGUUUAUUAAGUCCGUUGUUAAAGCCUAGGGCUCAACCCUAGAAAAGCAAUGGAAACUAGUAGACUAGAGUAUGGCAGGGGUAGAGGGAAUUUCUAGUGUAGCGGUGAAAUGCGUAGAUAUUAGAAAGAACACCGGUGGCGAAAGCGCUCUACUGGACCAUUACUGACACUCAGAGGCGAAAGCUAGGGUAGCAAAAGGGAUUAGAUACCCCUGUAGUCCUAGCCGUAAACGAUGGAUACUAGAUGUUGUGNAUAUGUACAGUAUCGUAGCUAACGUACGUUAAGUUAAUCCGCCCGGGGACGGUACGCUCGCAAGGGUGGAACGUACAAAGGAAAGUUAGACGG